Molecule: ribosomal RNA, 1049 nt
Filed under: uncultured delta proteobacterium
Lineage: Bacteria; Deltaproteobacteria
Description: bacterial SSU rRNA
Rfam family: Bacterial small subunit ribosomal RNA
Source: RNAcentral
AGAGUUUGAUCCUGGCUCAGAGCGAACGCAAGCGGCGUGCUUAACACAUGCAAGUCGAACGAGAAAGUUUCCUUCGGGAAAUGAGUACAGUGGCGAACGGGUGAGUAACACGUGGGUAACGUACCUUCGGGAUGGGGGAUAACAGCUCGAAAGGGCUGCCAAUACCGCGUACGACCUGAAUUUCAUAGGUGAUUCAGGUGAUAGGCUUCGGCCGACCGGAGAUCGGCCCGCGUCCCAUUAGCUAGUUGGCAGGGUAAUGGCCUACCAAGGCAUCGAUGGGUAGCUGGUCUGAGAGGACGAUCAGCCACACUGGGACUGAGACACGGCCCAGACUCCUACGGGAGGCAGCAGUGAGGAAUCUUGCGCAAUGGGGGAAACCCUGACGCAGCAUCGCCGCGUGAGUGACGAAGGCCUUCGGGUUGUAAAGCUCUGUCGGGAGGGAAGAAGGUAGGCAACUACUUGACGGUACCUCGCAAGAAAGCACCGGCUAACUCCGUGCCAGCAGCCGCGGUAAUACGGAGGGUGCAAGCGUUGCUCGGAAUCAUUGGGCGUAAAGCGCGUGCAGGCGGCUUGGUAAGUCGGAUGUGAAAGCCCGGAGCUCAACUCCGGAACUGCAUCCGAUACUGUCGAGCUUGAGUACGGGAGAGGGAUGUGGAAUUCCCAGUGUAGAGGUGAAAUUCGUUGAUAUUGGGAGGAACACCGGUGGCGAAAGCGGCAUCCUGGACCGAUACUGACGCUGAGACGCGAAAGCAUGGGGAGCAAACAGGAUUAGAUACCCUGGUAGUCCAUGCCGUAAACGAUGAGUACUAGGUGCUGCGGGUAUUGACCCCUGCAGUGUCGCAGCUAACGCAUUAAGUACUCCGCCUGGGGACUACGGUCGCAAGACUAAAACUCAAAGGAAUUGACGGGGGCCCGCACAAGCGGUGGAGCAUGUGGUUUAAUUCGACGCAACGCGAAGAACCUUACCUGGCCUUGACAUCCUCGGAACACCCUAGAAAUAGGGUGGUGUCAUCUUUGAUGAAGCCGAGUGACAGGUGCUGCAUGGCUGU